RNAcentral lists this ribosomal RNA (377 nucleotides) under uncultured bacterium. RNAcentral describes it as "bacterial SSU rRNA". It matches the Rfam family "Bacterial small subunit ribosomal RNA", at positions 521 to 896 of the family's 1533-position model. The record is from RNAcentral.
UAAUACGAGGGGGGCAAGCGUUGUCCGGAUUUAUUGGGCGUAAGGAGUUCGUAGGUGGAUUAGUCAGUCGAAAUUAAAAUCCCACGGCUUAACCGUGGUUCCGGUUUCGAUACUGCUAAUCUUGAGUGAGGUAGAGGUAGGCGGAAUUCCUGGUGUAGCGGUGAAAUGCGUAGAUAUCAGGAGGAACACCAAAGGCGAAGGCAGCUUACUAGGCCUAUACUGACACUGAGGAACGAAAGCGUGGGGAGCAAACAGGAUUAGAGACCCUGGUAGUCCACGCCGUAAACGAUGAGUACUUGAUGGUGGGGGAUUCGACCCCUUCACUGUCGGAGCUAACGCGUUAAGUACUCCGCCUGGGGACUACGACCGCAAGGUUG